UACAGAGGUCUCAAGCGUUGUUCGGAUUCAUUGGGCGUAAAGGGUGCGUAGGCGGCGCGGUAAGUCGGGUGUGAAAUCCUGGAGCUCAACUCCAGAACUGCCUUCGAUACUGAGAGUCUCGAGUCCGGAAGAGGUGAGUGGAACUCCUAGUGUAGAGGUGGAAUUCGUAGAUAUUAGGAAGAACACCAGUGGCGAAGGCGGCUCACUGGUCCGGUACUGACGCUGAGGUGCGAAAGCGUGGGGAGCAAACAGG
Molecule: ribosomal RNA, 253 nt
Filed under: uncultured bacterium
Lineage: Bacteria
Description: partial 16S ribosomal RNA
Rfam family: Bacterial small subunit ribosomal RNA
Source: RNAcentral